GAUGAACGCUGGCGGCGUGCCUAAUACAUGCAAGUCGAGCGAACAGACGAGGAGCUUGCUCCUCUGACGUUAGCGGCGGACGGGUGAGUAACACGUGGAUAACCUACCUAUAAGACUGGGAUAACUUCGGGAAACCGGAGCUAAUACCGGAUAAUAUAUUGAACCGCAUGGUUCAAUAGUGAAAGACGGUUUCGCUGUCACUUAUAGAUGGAUCCGCGCCGCAUUAGCUAGUUGGUAAGGUAACGGCUUACCAAGGCAACGAUGCGUAGCCGACCCGAGAGGGUGAUCGGCCACACUGGAACUGAGACACGGUCCAGACUCCUACGGGAGGCAGCAGUAGGGAAUCUUCCGCAAUGGGCGAAAGCCUGACGGAGCAACGCCGCGUGAGUGAUGAAGGUCUUCGGAUCGUAAAACUCUGUUAUUAGGGAAGAACAAAUGUGUAAGUAACUAUGCACGUCUUGACGGUACCUAAUCAGAAAGCCACGGCUAACUACGUG
This 497-nucleotide ribosomal RNA is filed under the name uncultured bacterium. RNAcentral's name for it is "partial 16S ribosomal RNA". It matches the Rfam family "Bacterial small subunit ribosomal RNA", at positions 28 to 507 of the family's 1533-position model. The record is from RNAcentral.